Molecule: ribosomal RNA, 497 nt
Filed under: uncultured bacterium
Lineage: Bacteria
Description: partial 16S ribosomal RNA
Rfam family: Bacterial small subunit ribosomal RNA
Source: RNAcentral
GACGAACGCUGGCGGCGUGCUUAAUACAUGCAAGUAGAACGCUGAAGAGAGGAGCUUGCUCUUCUUGGAUGAGUUGCGAACGGGUGAGUAACACGUAGGUAGCCUGCCUUGUAGCGGGGGAUAACUAUUGGAAACGAUAGCUAAUACCGCAUAACAAUGGAUGACACAUGUCAUUUAUUUGAAAGGGGCAAUUGCUCCACUACAAGAUGGACCUGCGUUGUAUUAGCUAGUAGGUGAGGUAAUGGCUCACCUAGGCGACGAUACAUAGCCGACCUGAGAGGGUGAUCGGCCACACUGGGACUGAGACACGGCCCAGACUCCUACGGGAGGCAGCAGUAGGGGAUCUUCGGCAAUGGGGGCAACCCUGACCGAGCAACGCCGCGUGAGUGAAGAAGGUUUUCGGAUCGUAAAGCUCUGUUGUAAGUCAAGAACGGGUGUGAGAGUGGAAAGUUCACACUGUGACGGUAGCUUACCAGAAAGGGACGGCUAACUACGUG